ACCGAACGUAGUGAGAGGUUGGGCGC
Molecule: non-coding RNA, 26 nt
Filed under: Rattus norvegicus (Norway rat)
Lineage: Eukaryota; Metazoa; Chordata; Mammalia; Rodentia; Muridae
Source: RNAcentral